RNAcentral lists this ribosomal RNA (337 nucleotides) under Vibrio sp. GSO3ARTBB4. Its description in RNAcentral is "bacterial SSU rRNA". It matches the Rfam family "Bacterial small subunit ribosomal RNA", at positions 67 to 404 of the family's 1533-position model. The record is from RNAcentral. Lineage: Bacteria; Pseudomonadati; Pseudomonadota; Gammaproteobacteria; Vibrionales; Vibrionaceae.
CUGAACCUUCGGGGAACGUUAACGGCGUCGAGCGGCGGACGGGUGAGUAAUGCCUAGGAAAUUGCCCUGAUGUGGGGGAUAACCAUUGGAAACGAUGGCUAAUACCGCAUGAUGCCUACGGGCCAAAGAGGGGGACCUUCGGGCCUCUCGCGUCAGGAUAUGCCUAGGUGGGAUUAGCUAGUUGGUGAGGUAAGGGCUCACCAAGGCGACGAUCCCUAGCUGGUCUGAGAGGAUGAUCAGCCACACUGGAACUGAGACACGGUCCAGACUCCUACGGGAGGCAGCAGUGGGGAAUAUUGCACAAUGGGCGCAAGCCUGAUGCAGCCAUGCCGCGUGU